AGUGAACGCUGGCGGUAGGCCUAACACAUGCAAGUCGAACGGCAGCACAGUAAGAGCUUGCUCUUACGGGUGGCGAGUGGCGGACGGGUGAGGAAUACAUCGGAAUCUACUUUUUCGUGGGGGAUAACGUAGGGAAACUUACGCUAAUACCGCAUACGACCUACGGGUGAAAGCAGGGGAUCUUCGGACCCUGCGCGAUUGAAUGAGCCGAUGUCGGAUUAGCUAGUUGGCGGGUAAAGGCCCACCAAGGCGACGAUCCGUAGCUGGUCUGAGAGGAUGAUCAGCCACACUGGAACUGAGACACGGUCCAGACUCCUACGGGAGGCAGCAGUGGGGAAUAUUGGACAAUGGGCGCAAGCCUGAUCCAGCCAUACCGCGUGGGUGAAGAAGGCCUUCGGGUUGUAAAGCCCUUUUGUUGGGAAAGAAAAGCAGCAGGUUAAUACCCCGCUGUUCUGACGGUACCCAAGGAAUAAGCACCGGCUAACUUCGUG
Molecule: ribosomal RNA, 491 nt
Filed under: uncultured bacterium
Lineage: Bacteria
Description: partial 16S ribosomal RNA
Rfam family: Bacterial small subunit ribosomal RNA
Source: RNAcentral